RNAcentral lists this transfer RNA (72 nucleotides) under Bos taurus (domestic cattle). It matches the Rfam family "tRNA". From Rfam's summary of the family: Transfer RNA (tRNA) molecules are approximately 80 nucleotides in length. Their secondary structure includes four short double-helical elements and three loops (D, anti-codon, and T loops). Further hydrogen bonds mediate the characteristic L-shaped molecular structure. tRNAs have two regions of fundamental functional importance: the anti-codon, which is responsible for specific mRNA codon recognition, and the 3' end, to which the tRNAs corresponding amino acid is attached (by aminoacyl-tRNA synthetases). tRNAs cope with the degeneracy of the genetic code in two manners: having more than one tRNA (with a specific anti-codon) for a particular amino acid; and 'wobble' base-pairing, i.e. permitting non-standard base-pairing at the 3rd anti-codon position. RNAcentral also lists the same sequence under 5 other names. The record is from Rfam by way of RNAcentral. Lineage: Eukaryota; Metazoa; Chordata; Mammalia; Artiodactyla; Bovidae.
UCCCUGGUGGCUCAGAAGGUAAAGCGUCUGCCUGCAAUGCGGGAGACCUGGGUUCGAUUCCUGGGUCGGGAA